Molecule: transfer RNA, 100 nt
Filed under: Enterococcus faecalis V583
Lineage: Bacteria; Bacillati; Bacillota; Bacilli; Lactobacillales; Enterococcaceae
Also listed under: 2 other names
Description: tRNA-Leu (TAA) (tRNA-Leu-TAA-2-1)
Source: RNAcentral
GGAGCUUACCAGACUAGCAAUACAGAAUGCCUGUCACUCGGCACGCUGUAAAGCGAACCUUUAAAAUGUUUGGACGCGGGUUCGACUCCCGCCGUCUCCA